RNAcentral lists this ribosomal RNA (253 nucleotides) under uncultured bacterium. RNAcentral describes it as "partial 16S ribosomal RNA". It matches the Rfam family "Bacterial small subunit ribosomal RNA", at positions 524 to 776 of the family's 1533-position model. The record is from RNAcentral.
CACGGGGGGAGCAAGCGUUGUUCGGAAUCACUGGGCGUAAAGGGCGUGUAGGCGGUUCGGUAAGUGGAAUGUGAAAUCCCUCGGCUCACCCGAGGACCUGCAUCCCAAACUGCCGAGCUUGAGUAUGGGAGAGGAUGAGGGAAUUCCAGGUGUAGCGGUGAAAUGCGUAGAUAUCUGGAGGAACACCGGUGGCGAAGGCGGCAUUCUGGACCGACAUUGACGCUGAGGAGCGAAAGCCAGGGGAGCAAACGGG